RNAcentral lists this long non-coding RNA (4182 nucleotides) under Brassica napus (rape). RNAcentral describes it as "long non-coding RNA (BNAP_LNC025873)". The record is from RNAcentral. Lineage: Eukaryota; Viridiplantae; Streptophyta; Magnoliopsida; Brassicales; Brassicaceae.
CACAGUAACAAUUAUACCACUGCAUGAAGUUGUGAGAACGUAGUACAAAAAUUAUUUAUUGUAGAGAGACGGUCAGGAAAAGUCCGCCAUUUUAACUGUAGGUGGAAACAAAAAAAUCCAUUUAAUAAAAAUAGGACCAACUAUAAAACAAAAAAUUAGAACUGGCUGGGUCUUUUUCUUCUUGUCCCAAAGAUCUUUAUUUUACAAGUCCCAAAAUAUCGUUUGAUUUUUCUAGCAAAUGUUUGCUGCUUCAACAAAAUUUGCUGCUUACAGUGUCGUAGCUUGGAACAGACAACACUGCCAAACAAAAAAAGAGCCAGACACAAUAUUAAGGACACAAGAUCAUUGUUUUAUUAUACCUCUGCAAGUGAAAAGGUAUAUGAAACGUAUAAGUUAAAAGAGAAAUGUUUAUUACCCUCUCCGAAGGAACCCAUUGUCAAAGGCUUAGAAAUAAUCUUGCUGGUGAAAUCAGUAAUGUCCUUCAACGUAAGUCCGUCUACUGUCUUCAAAAAUUGCUCAACUGGCUUCCUGCAAUAUUUUCAAUAUAAAAACAUUCAGAAUAAAGUGAAUUUCUUGAAGGUUUUAUAUUUAAAAUGAAAUUUUGAUGUGUACCUCUCUCCGUAUGUAAGUAUCUGCCUGCCAAUGUCUUCUGCUGCAAUCAUCUGCAUAUGACACGCGUUAACUCGUUAGUAACAUCUAUUUGAAAUCGAAUAAAUCGGUUUCAUCGUAAAGUGAGAGAGUGAAAGAAUACCCGAGAUUCCAAAUUCAUCAGAACUGCAGAUUUUGUGGCUGCCUUGGCACGAUCAAGAUGCUUCUGGUUAACUGUCCAAACACAUAAACACAAGGAAAAUGUUUCAUACAUGUAAAGUAUUGUAUCCACUUUUAAGUGACAGCAAGGAAGAAACAAACUGUAAACCUUUUCCUCCGGCAACAUCUUUCAGUUCUUUAGCUGCUAAUUCAAUCGCUUUUGCAGCGAACUCAGGACUCUGCAACCAUAGAUGUAAAUCAUAUCACUAUGUUAACCAUAAUACGUAUCAAGGAAGCUAACGCAAACUGAACAAUACCCACACAAAUUGGUAAUAUUCCUUUAAUACCAAAUCUAUCAUCAAUGGGAAAAAGGUGGAUGAUUGAUGGAAGGAAAAACACAGUAAGCAAAAUCCUGAUUUUGCUGAACUCACCGAGCAACCAUAGAUUCCAAACAAUCCGGUGUUGUUAAAGAUGCUAGUGAAUGCAGUGCAUGACUGAACUUGCUGAUAUUCGUUUAGAAUACGGAGAUCUGUAACCAGACACAUGAACUUGUAUCACUACUACUGAUCCUCUAGCAGAGCGUGAUAAUUUAUAAUGAACUAGUUCAAGAAACAGCAAAAAAAAAAAAAAAAACUUCUAAGCCAUAAAAUACACAAGAUUUGACUUACAUAGCCAUGAGUGCAUUCCUUUGCCAGGGCCUCCAGCUGAGAAUGAGCCGCCUCCUCCCAUGAGCAUCUAAUAGCAAAUAUAUUUAAAUUACAUAUCAGCCUUUCCUAAGAAAUAGGAUUUGAUUGAAACAAGUGAAAGUAUUAACACGAGGAAAAAUUAAACAUUCAAUUUAGGCACCUGGAGAACAGUAGCAAUGACUGCUUCUUUCUCGUUAUUCCAGCCAGGAACCUCAAACGCAAGCGCAAAGUGUGUAGCCUGAAGAAGACCAAAAAGCUCAAUUAGAGUUGUAACAUAAAAACAAUUUCAUCUCGAACACACUUGUUUAUUACUCCAACGACAGUAAAUAUGUAAUAGAUACCUCUCCACCAGUAUGUUGGCGAAAAUCUCCACCAGUAUAUUGAGAUAUCGGCUCCCCUUGGCGCGGUACAUUAGGAAGGUCAGAAGUUAAUGGCUCAACAACUUGUAAAAGUUCCUCGUGUUCAACUCCACUUGCCGCCAGUACCAUACGUGCAGCAGUGAAAUUCUCCUGAAAUCCCCAGAUCAAAUGAUUAAACAAUUGUAAUCACAGAGGUUUAGAUGGUUCUCAAAAGCUGAAUGCUGCCUUACAGUCAUAAACUCCUCCAAGAGUUCCCCAUUCAAUCUGUCCAAAGCAGACUCAUGAGCAUACAGAGGAUUUGCCAAUGCACCAGAAUAACCAGCAGAGUGAACGGCCUCCAUGAGGAGUCCCAUAGGGUUCUUUGCAAGCUCUGCUAUCUCUACCUUCAUCUUACGUAGCUACGAAUCAACACAAGAACAAUAAGUCACAUAAAUGUAUUCACCAGGGUUAUCAAAAUAACAACAAAGGAAAAAAAAAGAGAUUAAGAAAUUUACCUCUUCAUUGACUUCCCAAUCCAAGAAAGCAGGGUUCCUCACACUGUCAAUAAGAACUUCAACCAUUCCAGGGACAUAGGUUUUCAGAGCAUCAAUAGUGUAACUCAUUUGCUCCCGAGACGCAGACGCCGAGGUGUUGCCUCCAAUAGCUUCGAUUUCCCUAACAAGACGUAGAUGGCUUCUGUUCGUCGUGCUCUUGAAAGCCAUCCUCUCAAGCAAAUGCGUUGCUCCAUGGAAAUAAGGCGCCUCGUAGAUAGAACCACAAUCAACAUACAAACCAAUGGAAGCUGCUGGAUUCUAACACACCAAGAUAAUAACUUCGUUCAGUUCAUUUACCGCAUUUUAAAAGAUUCUAUCUUCAGAGAAGUAAACAUAAGAUUUACUUACGGGAGACAUCUCGGAGGCGAUUUUGAGACCAUUUGGGAGAGUAGUGAUCUUAAGUUUGCUUGGCUCAACAAGGUCAGCAAGUGGUGGAGGAAGAGACACACCCUGUAGUGGCAUGUCCAAUGAAUUAAGCGAAGAAGAUGAUCCACCAGUCAACCAGCUGAAGAAACCUGGAGAAGAAGAAGAAGAACUAGUCGCAACGGCACUUGAACUUGCAUAACGCGCCGGUCUCAAACUCCGGCUAAGAGAUCCCUAUCACAAAACAAGAAUAUGAUUCUUCAAUCGAUGAGUCGCAAAUCCAUUUCUAGUUAGAUUGACUUCAGAAACUCGUAAACCUAAGCAGUAAUAACAGUCCCAUCAUCGCGGGUAAUUCAAUCCAGAUCUAAAGAUUUUCCGAGAACGUAGGCGAAAUCAGGACGAAUCUAUUCACUACGCGAAGGUUCCAGACGCUUACAAGAGAACAUCAAUCGUGAAACGAUCAAAGGCUAAGGUAACAAACCUUGAGAGCCCUGGCUCGUGAAGCUGCCGUGCGAUACAUGGCGACUGUGGAAACCCUAAAUCGGAAGGGAAGGGAAGAGAUGAAUUGAGAAGGUGAGAGAGACUGCGAGUUUUGCUGCUUACGUAUUGCUUAUCAUAGGCCCAAAUGUUUAUAUGGGGUUGGCCCAUCAGAUGAAUUAGUUCACGGAGCCGACUAUAUCAGAAUAAGAAUUUAAAAAAAAAAAAAGUCUGAAGAAAGAAAAAAUUGUGGCUGUUGGAAUAUUUGAGAAAGAGGCUUAAAACAAACAUUGAAUGCAGUGAAGAGUCUUUAUCGUUGAGAGAGACUUGCCUAACUAUUCAAAGCAGCAAUAUGAGACUCGGUUUACUUUUUCUGUUUGCCCCAACCCCAAGAAUGUGGAGGAAGCACCCCGCUUUGAAAUAAUUUGUGGAUUCUGCAGUGUUUUAGUUCUUUUUUUGUGAAGGGCAGUGUUACUUGCUCAACCCUAUCCUACCAACAUAAUUAACCAGACUUAGAAUCCCGAAACUUCCGAUUUUUACUGUUCAUCCUCGUCCCCACAGCCUUCCAUUGCCUCCUCCUGAUCGAUCCUCACGAGACACGCCUUGUCAAAAGCUUGAUCGUCUCGUUCCUUCAAUGGCUUGGGUGUAAAACGCCAUCUUCCCGGCAAGAUCUUGAUUCACAUCCACAACACCCGCCCCGCUCCGCGAUCAACAUCAACCUUAACUGUAAGCUAAUCACUUCACUUCCAUAAUCAUGUCUUGAUGUUUAGCACUCAGAAAUGAAAUGACAUCACAGUAACAAUUAUACCACUGCAUGAAGUUGUGAGAACGUAGUACAAAAAUUAUUUAUUGUAGAGAGACGGUCAGGAAAAGUCCGCCAUUUUAACUGUAGGUGGAAACAAAAAAAUCCAUUUAAUAAAAAUAGGACCAACUAUAAAACAAAAAAUUAGAACUGGCUGGGUCUUUUUCUUCUUGUCCCAAAGAUCUUUAUUUUACAAGUCCCAAAAUAUCGUUUGA